GUUUGCACUUGUCGGGGAAGGGUGAGAACCUUCGAUUAAGGUUCGACUCGAGCGAAAGAACGUUGCCAACGGUAACGG
This 78-nucleotide small RNA is filed under the name Salmonella enterica. RNAcentral describes it as "partial RtT sRNA". It matches the Rfam family "RtT RNA", at positions 1 to 82 of the family's 130-position model. From Rfam's summary of the family: This family represents a bacterial cis-regulatory element known as RtT RNA. The exact function of RtT is unknown although it is thought that it may be involved in changing the cellular response in relation to amino acid starvation. Lineage: Bacteria; Pseudomonadati; Pseudomonadota; Gammaproteobacteria; Enterobacterales; Enterobacteriaceae. The record is from RNAcentral.